GAUGAACGCUAGCGGCAGGCCUAAUACAUGCAAGUCGAGGGGUAGAAGAGGCUUGCUUCUUUGAGACCGGCGCACGGGUGCGUAACGCGUAUGCAACCUACCUUCAUCUGGGGGAUAGCCCGGAGAAAUCCGGAUUAAUACCGCAUAAAAUCACAGGAUGGCAUUAUCCAAUGAUCAAACAUUUAUGGGAUGGAGAUGGGCAUGCGUGGCAUUAGCCAGUUGGCGGGGUAACGGCCCGCCAAGGCGACGAUGACUAGGGGAGCUGAGAGGAUGGCCCCCCACACUGGUACAGAGACACGGACCAGACUCCGACGGGAGGCAGCAUUAAGGAAUAUUGGUCAAUGGAGGCAACUCUGAACCCGCCGUGCCGCGUGCAGGAAGACUGCCCUACUGGUUGUAAACUGCUUUUAUUCGGGAAUAAACCUUAUUACGUGUAAUAAGCUGAAUGUACCGAAGGAAUAAGAAUCGGCUAACUCCGUGCCAGCAGCAGCCGCGG
This 496-nucleotide ribosomal RNA is filed under the name uncultured bacterium. RNAcentral describes it as "partial 16S ribosomal RNA". It matches the Rfam family "Bacterial small subunit ribosomal RNA", at positions 28 to 523 of the family's 1533-position model. The record is from RNAcentral.